RNAcentral lists this ribosomal RNA (460 nucleotides) under uncultured bacterium. Its description in RNAcentral is "partial 16S ribosomal RNA". It matches the Rfam family "Bacterial small subunit ribosomal RNA", at positions 338 to 795 of the family's 1533-position model. The record is from RNAcentral.
CCUACGGGAGGUAGCAGUGAGGAAUAUUGGUCAAUUGACGAGAGUCUGAACCAGCCAAGUAGCGUGAAGGAUGACUGCCCUAUGGGUUGUAAACUUAUUUUAUAUGGGAAUAACAUGUUCCACGUGUGGGAUUUUGUAUGUACCCUAUGAAUAAGGAUCGGCUAACUCCGUGCCAGCAGCCGCGGUAAUACGGAGGAUCCGAGCGUUAUCCGGAUUUAUUGGGUUUAAAGGGAGCGUAGGUGGAUUGUUAAGUCAGUUGUGAAAGUUUGCGGCUCAACCGUAAAAUUGCAGUUGAAACUGGCAGUCGUGAGUACAGUAGAGGUGGGCGGAAUUCGGGGUGUAGCGGUGAAAUGCUUAGAUAUCACGAAGAACUCCGAUUGCGAAGGCAGUUCACUGGACUGCAACUGACACUGAGGCUCGAAAGUGUGGGUAUCAAACAGGAUUAGAUACCCGGGUAGUC